Molecule: ribosomal RNA, 408 nt
Filed under: uncultured bacterium
Lineage: Bacteria
Description: partial 16S ribosomal RNA
Rfam family: Bacterial small subunit ribosomal RNA
Source: RNAcentral
GACGAACGCUGGCGGCGUGCUUAACACAUGCAAGUCGAACGAAGUGGCGAACGGGUGAGUAACGCGUAAUCAACCUGCCCUUCAGAGGGGGACAACAGUUGGAAACGACUGCUAAUACCGCAUACUGAAGGAGGGGAUUGCGUCUGAUUAGCUAGUUGGAGGGAUAACGGCCAACCAAGUCGAAGAUCAGUAGCCGUACUGAGAGGAGGAACGGCUACAUCGGGACUGAGACAAGGCCCAGACUCCUACGGGAGGCAGCAGUGGGGACUCUUCCGAAAUGGACGAAAGUCUGUCGGAGCAACGCCGCGGGAGUGAUGACGGCCUUCGGGUUGUAAAGCUCUGUUAAUCGGGACGCGGUACCGGAAUAGAAAGCCACGGCUAACUACGUGCCAGCAGCCGCGGUAAUUC